Small nucleolar RNA from Protopterus annectens (West African lungfish), 82 nucleotides. RefSeq annotates it as small nucleolar RNA U2-19. Lineage: Eukaryota; Metazoa; Chordata; Ceratodontiformes; Protopteridae. The transcript has a single exon. The record is from RefSeq and is a predicted model, not a curated record.
GUUCUAUGAUGAGAACUAGCCAAAUCUUAUCACCGUGAGGUCUUCUGAUCAAGUGGUGCAUGACAUAAGUGUAAUUCUGAGG